RNAcentral lists this transfer RNA (86 nucleotides) under Actinomycetota bacterium. RNAcentral's name for it is "Actinobacteria bacterium (freshwater metagenome) tRNA-Leu". It matches the Rfam family "tRNA". From Rfam's summary of the family: Transfer RNA (tRNA) molecules are approximately 80 nucleotides in length. Their secondary structure includes four short double-helical elements and three loops (D, anti-codon, and T loops). Further hydrogen bonds mediate the characteristic L-shaped molecular structure. tRNAs have two regions of fundamental functional importance: the anti-codon, which is responsible for specific mRNA codon recognition, and the 3' end, to which the tRNAs corresponding amino acid is attached (by aminoacyl-tRNA synthetases). tRNAs cope with the degeneracy of the genetic code in two manners: having more than one tRNA (with a specific anti-codon) for a particular amino acid; and 'wobble' base-pairing, i.e. permitting non-standard base-pairing at the 3rd anti-codon position. Lineage: Bacteria; Bacillati; Actinomycetota. The record is from RNAcentral.
GCCCGAGUGGCGGAAUUGGCAGACGCAGCGGACUUAAAAUCCGCGGCCGAAAGGCGUUGCGGGUUCGACUCCCGCCUCGGGCACUA